This 119-nucleotide ribosomal RNA is filed under the name Hordeum vulgare subsp. vulgare (domesticated barley). Lineage: Eukaryota; Viridiplantae; Streptophyta; Magnoliopsida; Poales; Poaceae. The record is from RNAcentral.
AGAUGCGAUCAUACCAGCACUAAAGCACCGGAUCCCAUCACAACUCCGAAGUUAAGCGUGCUUGGGCGAGAGUAGUACUAGGAUGGGUGACUUCCUCGGAAGUCCUCGUGUUGCAUUCC